GUGCAGACUCUGUGCAAUAAGGCACCGUGAACCAUGUCAGGCGGGGAACCGAGCAGCAUUAAACGGAUCGCUUUAUGUGCCGCAGUCGGUCUGCACACC
This 99-nucleotide signal recognition particle RNA is filed under the name Oscillospiraceae bacterium. RNAcentral's name for it is "signal recognition particle sRNA small type". It matches the Rfam family "Bacterial small signal recognition particle RNA". Rfam says of the family: The signal recognition particle (SRP) is a universally conserved ribonucleoprotein involved in the co-translational targeting of proteins to membranes. The record is from RNAcentral. Lineage: Bacteria; Bacillati; Bacillota; Clostridia; Eubacteriales; Oscillospiraceae.